GACGAACGCUGGCGGCGUGCCUAAUACAUGCAAGUAGAACGCUGAAGAGAGGAGCUUGCUCUUCUUGGAUGAGUUGCGAACGGGUGAGUAACGCGUAGGUAACCUGCCUGGUAGCGGGGGAUAACUAUUGGAAACGAUAGCUAAUACCGCAUAAAAUGGAUUAUCGCAUGAUAAUCCAUUGAAAGGUGCAAAUGCAUCACUACCAGAUGGACCUGCGUUGUAUUAGCUAGUUGGUGGGGUAACGGCUCACCAAGGCGACGAUACAUAGCCGACCUGAGAGGGUGAUCGGCCACACUGGGACUGAGACACGGCCCAGACUCCUACGGGAGGCAGCAGUAGGGAAUCUUCGGCAAUGGACGGAAGUCUGACCGAGCAACGCCGCGUGAGUGAAGAAGGGUUUCGGAUCGUAAAGCUCGGUUGUAAGAGAAGAACGAGUGUGAGAGUGGAAAGUUCACACUGUGACGGUAUCUUACCAGAAAGGGACGGCUAACUACGUG
This 497-nucleotide ribosomal RNA is filed under the name uncultured bacterium. RNAcentral's name for it is "partial 16S ribosomal RNA". It matches the Rfam family "Bacterial small subunit ribosomal RNA", at positions 28 to 507 of the family's 1533-position model. The record is from RNAcentral.